Molecule: ribosomal RNA, 207 nt
Filed under: uncultured bacterium
Lineage: Bacteria
Description: partial 16S ribosomal RNA
Rfam family: Bacterial small subunit ribosomal RNA
Source: RNAcentral
CAAGUAGGUGGUCUCAUUUGUCUAGGGUGAAAUCCUUGAGCUUAACUCAAGAAGUGCCCUAGAAACGGUGGGACUAGAGUUCUGGAGAGGGUCGUGGAAUUCCCGGUGUAGCGGUGAAAUGCGUAGAGAUCGGGAGGAACACCAGAGGCGAAGGCGGCGACCUGGACAGACACUGACACUCAACUGCGAAAGCGUGGGGAGCAAACA